This 652-nucleotide long non-coding RNA is filed under the name Rattus norvegicus (Norway rat). RNAcentral describes it as "long non-coding RNA NONRATT007114". The record is from RNAcentral. Lineage: Eukaryota; Metazoa; Chordata; Mammalia; Rodentia; Muridae.
AGGAUAACGAGGUGAUGGACACAUUCCAAAUUGAGUGUCUGAAGGAUGGUGCAUGGAGUAACAAGAUUCCCACCUGUAAAAAAAGCGAGAUCGAUUUGGAGGAGGAGCUGGAGUCAGAGCAAGUGGCAGAGUGAAAAGAUUGGCAUUGGAGGGAACCCCACACAGUGCAGACAUCUGAGAACGGAUUCCUUACAGAGAACCCAAUCCCUUACAGAGCCGCCCCACCCUGCCCCAUCCACCGACACUCCAUUGCCCACUCCAGUGUGAAUUAGAACGGAUGCUGAGCCAGGCCAGAGCCUCCUCAGCAGACACAGCUACCUGCCUAGGAACAAACUCUCUCCCCCGAGGACUCGCUCACCAUGCAAACUUACUCCCAAAAGCAAUGAAAGACCAUGGGUGGUUAUUUUAAUCUCUAAGUGAACUGUGCUCUUCUCAGAGGAAAAUAGGCCCUUGGCUCAAAAAACACAAAUUUAAUAUACAACCAUAUGACCUAGAACAAUAUGGGCCCUGGUGACUGGUCCACUCCGUACUAUAAGUUUAAAUGGGUCAGGGUGCUAACAACUUAAUGACUUUCAAAUCUCCGGCUUUGCUACUGUCUUCACAACCAUGGGUUUAUAAAAUGAAUAAUAACAACAGAGUGUGGAUGCUGGCG